GCCCAGGCGCUUCCGCGACCACCCGGAGUGGUUGGCCGGCAGAGCGCGGUAAAAAAUCUCAUUUGGACAGAUUGAGUCGGGCACAACUGACCCAACUUUUCUUAGCCUCAGUCCUGGAAUGCCCUUUCUAUGAGGGUCCAAAACUCCUUUCUAAAUAUCAAGUGAAGUCAUUUCUUACCCCAUGCUUUUCCCUGGAGACCCCUGUGGAUUCUCAGCUUUAUAGAUAUGUGAAGAUCGGGCUGACUAACCUUUUAGGAGCAAGAUUAUAUUUUGCUCCAAAAGUGUUGACACCCUAUUGUUAUACAAUAGCCUUCAGUCCAAUUGAUCAAUGCAAUGUGGAAGGAAUCAAAGCAAAGCAAAGGAAUGAAUACAGGAAGAUAGUGUUUGUGAGGGUAUCACACGAGGAAUUUUUCCUUUCUUCUCUCACCAGAUGUUGAAAUUAAAUUAGAUGAAGAAGGAUUUGUAUUGCCAUCCACAGUUAAUGAAGAUAUCCAUAAAAGGAUAGCACUAUGUAUUGAUGAUCCAAAAAGGUUUUGCUCCAAUAGCAAACACUUACUGGGAAAAGAAGCUAUUAAACAAAGACACCUACAGUUACUUGGUUAUCAAGUUGUUCAGAUCCCCUAUCAUGAGAUUGGGAUGCUAAAAUCAAGACGUGAAUUGGUGGAAUAUUUACAAAGAAAACUGUUUUCUCAAAACACUGUUCAUUAGUCACAAGAAUGAAUACUGACUUCAGAACUCAAAAAAAUGAAAGAACUUGCAUUUUUAUGGAACUCAGUAUUAAAAGAAAACUAUAAUGUGAAUUAGUCACUUUGCAGAAUAU
This 820-nucleotide small RNA is filed under the name Pongo abelii (Sumatran orangutan). RNAcentral's name for it is "processed transcript". Lineage: Eukaryota; Metazoa; Chordata; Mammalia; Primates; Hominidae. The record is from RNAcentral.